UUACAAGAGUAAUUAUUACAGCAGACUUUUUAUUUCUAUCCUUACAUUGUCCUGCAAUAAUCUGUACUUUCAACUCCGAACAUU
Etheostoma spectabile (orangethroat darter) is the source of this 84-nucleotide long non-coding RNA. RefSeq lists it as uncharacterized. The record is from RefSeq and is a predicted model, not a curated record. The transcript has 3 exons. Lineage: Eukaryota; Metazoa; Chordata; Actinopteri; Perciformes; Percidae.